AAUGGGGCUUUUCUAGAGACUCACAUGACCGCUCCCAUGGUUGGAAAUGCCCCACAGAGUAACUAUGUGGUUUGCUUUACUCAUAGAACUACUCACUGAAUCUGUGAGGAAAAAGACAGAA
RNAcentral lists this small nucleolar RNA (121 nucleotides) under Echinops telfairi (small Madagascar hedgehog). Lineage: Eukaryota; Metazoa; Chordata; Mammalia; Afrosoricida; Tenrecidae. The record is from RNAcentral.